CUACGUAGGGGGCGAGCGUUGUCCGGAAUGAUUGGGCGUAAAGGGCGCGUAGGCGGCCUGUUAAGUCUGGAGUGAAAGUCCUGUUUUCAAGAUGGGAAUUGCUUUGGAUACUGAUGGGCUUGAGUGCAGGAGGGGUUAUCGGAAUUCCCGGUGUAGCGGUGAAAUGCGUAGAGAUCGGGAGGAACACCAGUGGCGAAGGCGGGUAACUGGACUGCAACUGACGCUGAGGCGCGAAAGUGUGGGGAGCAAACAGGAUUAGAUACCCUGGUAGUCCACACUGUAAACGAUGAAUGCUAGGUGUAAGAGGUAUCGACCCCUUUUGCGCCGGAGUUAACACAAUAAGCAUUCCGCCUGGGGAGUACGGCCGCAAGGUUGAAACUCAAAGGAAUUGACGGGG
RNAcentral lists this ribosomal RNA (397 nucleotides) under uncultured bacterium. RNAcentral's name for it is "partial 16S ribosomal RNA". It matches the Rfam family "Bacterial small subunit ribosomal RNA", at positions 523 to 918 of the family's 1533-position model. The record is from RNAcentral.